Molecule: small nuclear RNA, 107 nt
Filed under: Tupaia belangeri (northern tree shrew)
Lineage: Eukaryota; Metazoa; Chordata; Mammalia; Scandentia; Tupaiidae
Source: RNAcentral
GUGCUCGCUUCGGCAGCACAUAUACUAAAAUUGGAAUGAUACAGAGAAGAUUAGUAUGGCCCCUGUGCAAGGAUGACACGCAAAUUCAUGAAGUGUUCCAUAUUUUU